Molecule: ribosomal RNA, 468 nt
Filed under: uncultured bacterium
Lineage: Bacteria
Description: partial 16S ribosomal RNA
Rfam family: Bacterial small subunit ribosomal RNA
Source: RNAcentral
GACGAACGCUGGCGGCAUGCUUAACACAUGCAAGUCGAACGGCAAGGCCCUGCUUUCGUCGGGUGCUCGAGUGGCCAACGCGUGAGUGACACAUGAGUAACCUGCCCGUGACUUUCAGAUAACUUCAGGGAGCUGGGGCGAAUACCGGCUACAUACUCCUGCUGCAUGGUGGGCGUUCGAGAGUUUCGGCGGUUGGUGAUGGACUCGCGGCUGAUCAGUUUGUUGGUGGGGUAGUGGAUUACCAAGGCUGUGACGGGUAGCCGGCCUGAGAGGGUGACCGGCCAAAUUGGGACUGUGCUACGGGCGAGACUAGUAAGGGAGGCAGCAGUGGGGAAUAUAGCACGAUGGGGGGAAGCCGGAUGCAGCAAGGCCGCGUGCGGGAUGACGGCCUUCGGGUUGUAAACCGCUUUCGCCUGUGACGAAGCGUGAGUGACGGUAAUGGGUGAAGAAGCACCGGCUAACUACGUG